RNAcentral lists this long non-coding RNA (261 nucleotides) under Mustela putorius furo (domestic ferret). RNAcentral describes it as "lncRNA (ENSMPUG00000026296.1)". Lineage: Eukaryota; Metazoa; Chordata; Mammalia; Carnivora; Mustelidae. The record is from RNAcentral.
UGGGAUCACCAAACCACUGUUGAGUGUUCAGGUUGCCAGCAGCAUUGACCAUUUCUGAGUUGGUGAGAUAUGCCCUGCUCCAGGAGGACCAGCCAGCCACUCAGAGCCUGGAAAAAGAUCCAUGAAAUGAAGGUUGUCCAUGCUUAAAUUCAUGUUUUAUGGCUCAAAGAUCAAACCAUUUAUUGAACAAAGUGAAGGGAAGACAGAAAUCGGUAAUUGUGGCUGACACACUGGAGAGGGGCUGAAAGUUGGGAAUUUGAG